Molecule: ribosomal RNA, 445 nt
Filed under: uncultured bacterium
Lineage: Bacteria
Description: bacterial SSU rRNA
Rfam family: Bacterial small subunit ribosomal RNA
Source: RNAcentral
GUGAGGAAUAUUGCGCAAUGGAGGCAACUCUGACGCAGCCAUGCCGCGUGCAGGAAGAAGGCGCUACGCGUUGUAAACUGCUUUUAACCGGGAAGAAACCCCAGGACGUGUCCUGGGUUGACGGUACCGGAGGAAUAAGCACCGGCUAACUUCGUGCCAGCAGCCGCGGUAAUACGAAGGGUGCAAGCGUUAUCCGGAUUCAUUGGGUUUAAAGGGUGCGUAGGCGGAGCGUUAAGUCAGUGGUGAAAUCCUGCAGCUCAACUGUAGACUUGCCAUUGAUACUGGCGUUCUUGAGUGCGCUUGAAGUGGGCGGAAUGUGCCGUGUAGCGGUGAAAUGCUUAGAUAUGGCACAGAACACCAAUUGCGAAGGCAGCUCACUAAGGCGAUACUGACGCUGAGGCACGAAAGCGUGGGGAUCGAACAGGAUUAGAAACCCGGGUAGUCC